GAUAAACGCUGACAGAAUGCUUAACACAUGCAAGUCGAUGAUGAGCUAUAGCUUGCUAUAGUAAGUCAUGGCGGACGGGUGAGUAACGCGUAAAGAACUUACCUCAUAGACUGGGAUAACAGAGGGAAACUUCUGAUAAGACUGGAUAAGUUGGUUAUUAGCAUUAAUAACGAAUGAAAGGGGACACUAUGAGAGAGCUUUGCGUCCUAUUAGCUAGUUGGUGGGGUAAAGGCCUACCAAGGCGAUGAUAGGUAGCCGGCCUGAGAGGGUGGACGGCCACAAGGGGACUGAGAUACGGCCCUUACUCCUACGGGAGGCAGCAGUGGGGAAUAUUGGACAAUGGAGGCAACUCUGAUCCAGCAAUUCUGUGUGUGUGAAGAAGGUUUUAGGACUGUAAAACACUUUUAGUAGGGAAGAAAAAAAUGACGGUACCUACAGAAGAAGCGACGGCUAAAUACGUGCCAGCAGCCGCGGUAAUACGUAUGUCGCGAGCGUUAUCCGGAAUUAUUGGGCUUAAAGGGCAUCUAGGCGGAUAAUCAAGUUGAAGGUGAAAAGCUGUGGCUCAACCAUAGUCUUGCCUACAAAACUGAUUAUCUAGAGUACUGGAAAGGUGGGUGGAACUACACGAGUAGAGGUGAAAUUCGUAGAUAUGUGUAGGAAUGCCGAUGAUGAAGAUAACUCACUGGACAGAAACUGACGCUGAAGUGCGAAAGCUAGGGGAGCAAACAGG
This 730-nucleotide ribosomal RNA is filed under the name uncultured Sneathia sp. RNAcentral describes it as "bacterial SSU rRNA". It matches the Rfam family "Bacterial small subunit ribosomal RNA", at positions 28 to 776 of the family's 1533-position model. The record is from RNAcentral. Lineage: Bacteria; Fusobacteriati; Fusobacteriota; Fusobacteriia; Fusobacteriales; Leptotrichiaceae.